UUGAGCUUCUAAUCGGCACGGUUAGCAGAGGCUGAAAGACUGUACGUACCCCGUCCAGUGUAUGGCAGAGAUGGUAGAGAUCAUUGGUUUCUACUGCGCGCCGCCAUCUUCCUCCGAACCACGCAAGUACCAUUGAAUUUUAUACUAACUGGACGCGCACAGGGCGAAUGGUGUGGGACAAAUUGAAGGCAGCCAUUUAAACUUCGACUUUUACAGGCCCAAUCAGAUUUGGUUUAUUUGAUCGCAGUUAGCUGCAGUCAGCGUUGCAUACAUAACGAUAAGUGAUUUAAGUGAUUGUUAACGUGAUUGAUAAAAUUGAAAAAUGAGGUGUUGUGAACCCGAGCGUAGGCAAAAAAGUGAAACUGGAAUCUCAUUUCAUAAAUUUCUGAAUGGGGACUAUGAUCGAGCAAAGGCAUGGUUUGAAGCGAUUUCAACAUUUUUAGUUUAAUUUAGGCAAGGUCCAGUUCCUGUAUCACAGCAAGGAAAACGAACCUGCCGAUGUCUGAGUACAUCGCGGACUUUGGACCGGUGGUUCAACAAUUCAGACCCGAGUGUAUAACCGUGACUACAACGCAACCAAACAAGAUCGAACAAGUGAUUUUUUGGAUGCGGUGAAAAUAGAAAUAAAAAUGGAAAUGGAAAUGAAAAUGGGCAUCUCUGCUCCGUUCUGUUUCUAUGUAUCGAAUGUCUCUACGUUCCACUGGUUCAGUUAGUCUCAAUUGUUAGAAACACGUAAGCUUGCACACUAAAUCUAAUUAAGUAUAUCAAUGG
This is a long non-coding RNA of Neodiprion fabricii, 771 nucleotides long. RefSeq lists it as uncharacterized. The transcript is spliced from 4 exons. The record is from RefSeq and is a predicted model, not a curated record. NCBI's taxonomy places the organism in Eukaryota, Metazoa, Arthropoda, Insecta, Hymenoptera, Diprionidae.